GGCUAACCUGCCCCCGGGACAGGGAUACCCCCGGGAAACUGGGGCUAAUCCCCGAUAGGUGAAGAAUCCUGGAACGGAUCCUCGCCCAAAAGACGCCUAGACCACGCUUCUAGGCGCCGCCCAAGGAUGGGGCCGCGUCCGAUCAGGUUGUUGGUGAGGUAAUGGCCCACCAAGCCUUUAACCGGUGCGGGCCGUGGGAGCGGGAGCCCGGAGAUGGGCACUGAGACAAGGGCCCAGGCCCUACGGGGCGCAGCAGUCGCGAAAACUUUGCAAUACACGAAAGUGUGACAGGGCCAUCCCGAGUGCCAUCCGCUGAGGACGGCUUUUACUCAGUCUAGAAAGCUGGGAGAAUAAGGAGAGGGCAAGUCUGGUGUCAGCCGCCGCGGUAAUACCAGCUCUCCGAGUGGUGUGGAUGCUUAUUGGGCCUAAAGCAUUCGUAGCCGGCUGGGCAAGUCCCCUGUCAAAUCCACCGAUUUAAUCGUUGGAUCGCGGGGGAUACUGUUCGGCUAGGGGACGGGAGAGGCCGACGGUAUUCUCGGGGUAGGGGUGAAAUCCUAUAAUCCCGGGAGGACCACCAGUGGCGAAGGCUGUCGGCUAGAACGCGCCCGACGGUGAGGGAUGAAAGCUGGGGGAGCGAACCGGAUUAGAUACCCGGGUAGUCCCAGCUGUAAACGAUGCAGGCUAGGUGUUUGGGCGGCCACGUGCCGCUCUAGUGCCGCAGGGAAGCUGUUAAGCCUGCCGCCUGGGGAGUACGGCCGCAAGGCUGAAACUUAA
This 774-nucleotide ribosomal RNA is filed under the name uncultured archaeon. RNAcentral describes it as "bacterial SSU rRNA". It matches the Rfam family "Archaeal small subunit ribosomal RNA", at positions 102 to 859 of the family's 1478-position model. The record is from RNAcentral.